RNAcentral lists this ribosomal RNA (249 nucleotides) under uncultured Nocardioidaceae bacterium. RNAcentral's name for it is "partial 16S ribosomal RNA". It matches the Rfam family "Bacterial small subunit ribosomal RNA", at positions 355 to 616 of the family's 1533-position model. The record is from RNAcentral. Lineage: Bacteria; Bacillati; Actinomycetota; Actinomycetes; Propionibacteriales; Nocardioidaceae.
UGGGGAAUAUUGGACAAUGGGCGAAAGCCUGAUCCAGCAACGCCGCGUGAGGGAUGACGGCCUUCGGGUUGUAAACCUCUUUCAGCGGGGACGAAGCGAAAGUGACGGUACCCGCAGAAGAAGGACCGGCCAACUACGUGCCAGCAGCCGCGGUAACACGUAGGGUCCGAGCGUUGUCCGGAAUUAUCGGGCGUAAAGGGGUCGAAUGCGGUUUGGAGCGUCGGGAGUGAAAACACGGGGCUUAACACC